Molecule: ribosomal RNA, 254 nt
Filed under: uncultured bacterium
Lineage: Bacteria
Description: partial 16S ribosomal RNA
Rfam family: Bacterial small subunit ribosomal RNA
Source: RNAcentral
UACAGGGGGGGCAAGCGUUGUUCGGAAUUACUGGGCGUAAAGGGUCUGUAGGUGGCCAACUAAGUCAGACGUGAAAUCCCUCAGCUUAACUGGGGAACUGCGUCUGAUACUGGAUGGCUUGAGUGUGGGAGAGGAAUGCGGAAUUCCAGGUGUAGCGGUGAAAUGCGUAGAUAUCUGGAGGAACACCGGUGGCGAAGGCGGCAUUCUGGACCGAUAUUGACGCUGAGGAGCGAAAGCCAGGGGAGCAAACGGGG